GGGGCUGCAACGGUUUCGACGUUUUGGCGAACGCUACCUUGUGAUGCAGGCUGAGAGCGAGCUAACUCUCAUAAAUCCAUGGCUCAAACAACGUACAUGCGAACAACAUCGUACCUUUUGCUCGUAAGCAAUCUGCUGUUGCAGUUGCCUAACAACCUCUAACUGGUUCGAGCGUCUGUCAUUUGACUCCGUUAAGGAUGAUAGACCAACCCCCAACGGAUGCUCUAGUCUACUGCCUCUGGUCGGUAGCUAGUUAAGACUUUACCAGAGCAUCCCACUGUCCGGGAUAAGGGACAGUUCCCGCUGCAAGGGUUAGAGCAGCUAAGCCUGUGAAUGAACAGUGUACUAAUACCCAGGGCGGACACGGGUUCGACUCCCGUCAGCUCCAUUG
This 391-nucleotide transfer-messenger RNA is filed under the name Leptolyngbyaceae. RNAcentral describes it as "Pantanalinema sp016743235 Standard tmRNA". It matches the Rfam family "transfer-messenger RNA". From Rfam's summary of the family: Bacterial tmRNA, also known as 10Sa RNA or SsrA, is named for its dual tRNA and mRNA-like properties. The record is from RNAcentral. Lineage: Bacteria; Bacillati; Cyanobacteriota; Cyanophyceae; Leptolyngbyales. RNAcentral also lists the same sequence under 1 other name.